This 84-nucleotide transfer RNA is filed under the name Arcobacter sp. RNAcentral's name for it is "tRNA-Leu". It matches the Rfam family "tRNA". Rfam says of the family: Transfer RNA (tRNA) molecules are approximately 80 nucleotides in length. Their secondary structure includes four short double-helical elements and three loops (D, anti-codon, and T loops). Further hydrogen bonds mediate the characteristic L-shaped molecular structure. tRNAs have two regions of fundamental functional importance: the anti-codon, which is responsible for specific mRNA codon recognition, and the 3' end, to which the tRNAs corresponding amino acid is attached (by aminoacyl-tRNA synthetases). tRNAs cope with the degeneracy of the genetic code in two manners: having more than one tRNA (with a specific anti-codon) for a particular amino acid; and 'wobble' base-pairing, i.e. permitting non-standard base-pairing at the 3rd anti-codon position. The record is from RNAcentral. Lineage: Bacteria; Pseudomonadati; Campylobacterota; Epsilonproteobacteria; Campylobacterales; Arcobacteraceae.
GCCAGCAUGAUGGAAUGGUAGACUUGGCUGACUCAAAAUCAGCUGCCGUAAGGCGUGCCGGUUCGAGUCCGGCUGCUGGUACCA